AGGAUGAACGCUAGCGGCAGGCCUAAUACAUGCAAGUCGAGGGGAUUGGGACUUCGGUUCCAUGAGACCGGCGCACGGGUGCGUAACGCGUAUGCAACCUACCUUCAUCAGGGGGAUAGCCCGAAAGAAAUUCGGAUUAACACCGCAUAAAACCACAGUACAGCAUUGUACAAUGGUCAAAUAUUCAUAGGAUGGAGAUGGGCAUGCGUGCCAUUAGCUAGUUGGCAGGGUAACGGCCUACCAAGGCGACGAUGGCU
This 257-nucleotide ribosomal RNA is filed under the name uncultured bacterium. Its description in RNAcentral is "partial small subunit ribosomal RNA". It matches the Rfam family "Bacterial small subunit ribosomal RNA", at positions 26 to 284 of the family's 1533-position model. The record is from RNAcentral.